This 2553-nucleotide long non-coding RNA is filed under the name Sus scrofa (pig). RNAcentral describes it as "lncRNA (ENSSSCG00030015200.1)". The record is from RNAcentral. Lineage: Eukaryota; Metazoa; Chordata; Mammalia; Artiodactyla; Suidae.
UUUUUUUUUUUUUUUUUGUCUUUUUGCUAUUUCUUGGGCCGCUCCCACGGCAUAUGGAGGUUCCCAGGCUAGGGGUCUAAUCAGAGCCGUAGCCACCAGCCUACACCAGAGCCACAGCAACGCAGGAUCCGAGCCGCGUCUGCAACCUACACCACAGCUCACGGCAACGCCGGAUUGUUAACCCACUGAGCAAGGGCAGGGACCGAACCCGCAACCUCAUGGUUCCUAGUCGGAUUCGUUAACCACUGCGCCACGACGGGAACUCCAGAUAUAGAAUCUUAACAGAGAUUUUUGGCUUGUAUAUUUUGCAGGCAUCAUUUGAAUUAGCACAUCAUAUAUUAAUGUUCAAUAUGGUAGUGUGCAUUAUGAAUAUUAGAAUGUUAGAAUACGAAUAUUAGAUCCUUGUUGUGUAUGGGGGCAAUUUAAUUAAUUCAUUAAUUAAUGGAUAGACUAGAAUUUAUUACAAAACACAUACACUUGAUGCUUUCAAAGUAGUAAUUGCUCUAGCUCUACUUCGCCAGAAAUUGUUGAAAAAGCAUCACAUGAUGGCAAUAAAAGAACACUAGAUUAACAAAUCUGAAAGGGACAUCACAUCUCUUGUGAAAAUGGAUUGGUGAACCCAUUGUCUGGAUGUGCUCAUAGGAAAAAAAACAUGGUAGAGGAAAUGUCUAACAGCUAACCAUCUUAGCAGUUUUGUGACUUCCAGGAGAAUGACUGUACUUCCACAGCUGGGAAUUGAACACAUAUAAGAAAUCUUCAUAAAAAUAACUAGAAGUUUUGAUUCUGGGUAAGACACAGGCAUAUCCACCUUGUCUCUUCCAUUAAAUGCAGCUAUAAAACCUAGACAGAAUGCUUGCAACAACUUUUUGAGAAUUCUGAAUACUAAAUAGCAGCAGCCCCAGAUGGCUUCAUCAGUAAAUUCUCUUGAACAUUCAAAGAAGAAAUAAUACUAAUAUAUUCAAUCUAUUCCAGAAAAUAGAAAUGGAAGGAAUAUUCUCUGUCUCAUUUUUUGAGUCCAGCAUUAACAUUAUAGCAAAAUCAUACACAGACAGUUCAAGAAACUAAGUCCAAUAUCCCCAAUAUCCCUCAUCAACACAGAAGAGAAAAUCCACAGUAUAAUAUGAAAUAGAAUUAGAGAUACAUAGAAAGAAUAACACCACAACCAGAUAAGUCUGUCGUAGGAAUGCAAGGUUGGUUCAAUAUUUGAAAAUCAAUCAUUUUAACCACCAGGAGUUCUCAUUGUAGCUCAGCAGGUUAAGAACCCAACUAAUAUCCAUGAGGAUGCAGGUUCAAUCCCUGGUCUCACUCAGUGGGUUAAGGAUCUGGUGUUGCUGUGAGCUGUGGUAGGUUGCAGAUGUUGCUCAGAUCCUGUGUUGCUGUGGCUGUGGUAUAGGCUGGCAGGUGGACCUGUGUUUCAACCCCUAGCCCAGGAACUUCCACAUGCUGCUGGUUUGGCCCUUAAAAGCCAAAAAAAAAAAAAGGCAAGAAAGCAAGCAAGAAAGAAACGUAAACACUAUAUUAAACCUAAUGUGUGAGGUAACUGAAGAACUAUAAAGCACCUAAUAAAAUUCUCUGUUCAGCAAACUAGGGAUAGUAGGUGACUUCUUAAAUUAGAAAGAGCAUCUACACAAUAUCUACAACUAAGGUCAUACUUAAUGGUAAACAACUUUGUUUCUCCUAAGCUCUGAUACAAGGCAAAAAUGUCCGCUCUUACUACUUAUAUUUUAUAGCAUAUUGGAAGACUUAGCUGAUGCAAUAAUACAAUAAAAUGAAAGAAAAGACAUAAAAAUUGCAAAGGAAAAUUUAAAAUUUUCCCAUUUUUAGUCAGUAUGACUGUCUUCAUAAAAAUAUUAAGAGAUCAUGGAGUUCCCGUCGUGGCGCAGUGGUUAACGAAUCCGACUAGGAACCAUGAGCAAUGACAGGAACUCCUUUUCUUUUCUUUCUUUCUUUCUUUCUUUCUUUUUUAAGUGGCUGCACCUGUAGCAUGCGGAACUUCCUGGGACAGGGUCUGAAUCCAAGCCAUAGCUGCAACCUAUGUCAUAGCUGGGGCAAUGCUGCAUCCUUUAACCCACUGAGCUGGGCCAGGAAAGGAAAUUGCACCUCCAUAGUGAUCUGACCCAUUGCAGCUGGAUUCUUAACCCACUCCACCACAGCAGGAACUCCUAAAUCUUAAAAUCAUUAAUGAAACAGCAGACACAAAUAAGCAAGAUUCUAAGGUGAGACAGUAAUUACUAAGUGCUUAUUCUACUGAACUAAUUACUUAAAAUAAUAAACUCAUUUUAAAUAAUAAUGAAAUUCGAGAUCAAGUGUGAACACUGAUGAGUAUAUUCUAGUCUUUGGGGAAGAGGAAAUUACGCAAGUUUUCUGUGGUUUCUUUUCUUUUUUCUUUUUGGUCUUUUUAGGGCCGCAUCCAUGGCAUAGGGGGGUUCCCAGGCUAAGGGUUGAAACAAAGCUGUAGCUGCCAGCCUACGCGACAGCCACAGCAACAUGGAAUCCGAGCCGCGUUUGCUACCUACAUCACAGCUUAUGGAAACGCUGAAUUCUUAACCCACU